AGAGUUUGAUCCUGGCUCAGGACGAACGCUGGCGGCGUGCUUAACACAUGCAAGUCGAACGGACCAAGUGGAUAGCUUGCUAGAAGCUUGGUUAGUGGCGGACGGGUGAGUAACACGUGGAUAAUCUGCCUUUGACACUGGGACAACACUGUGAAAACGGUGCUAAUACCGGAUACCUUAGUUAGUUCUCAUGAAUUGAUUAAGAAAGGAGCAAUCCGGUCAAAGAUGAGUCCGCGGCUGAUUAGCUAGUUGGUGAGGUAACGGCCCACCAAGGCGACGAUCAGUAGCCGGCCUGAGAGGGUGAACGGCCACACUGGGACUGAGACACGGCCCAGACUCCUACGGGAGGCAGCAGUGGGGAAUCUUCCGCAAUGGACGAAAGUCUGACGGAGCAACGCCGCGUGAGUGAAGAAGGCCUUCGGGUUGUAAAACUCUGUCUUCAGGGAAGAAAAAAAUGAC
Molecule: ribosomal RNA, 459 nt
Filed under: uncultured bacterium
Lineage: Bacteria
Description: bacterial SSU rRNA
Rfam family: Bacterial small subunit ribosomal RNA
Source: RNAcentral